AUGAAUAUACCUGCCCUAAGAAGAGGUAGUAACAAAGCUAAUCAUAACUUUGAGCACAGGAAUACUGAGGAGGAGCUCUGGGGCCUGGCUGUGCUUCCCUUAGCCCUUCUGCUGGAGUCCAGGUGCAGAAUCUCUUCCGUAGAGGAAAUCUCUCUGUCAGCAGACAGAGGUAGUAAUGACAUAUUGAAGUCCGAAAAGAUUGACUUGAAAGGCUUUGAGGCUCCUCAAAAAUAGCGUUCAUAGGGCAGUAAAUAGGUUGGCAAACAAGGAAUAGGAGGACCUGUGGUUUACACCCAGUGUCAACAACAAGAUAAUUUGCCUAUGGGUAAGUACAGCUUUCCUAAGAGUUUUAAUUCCCCCAGAGGCCCUGUGGUUUCCAUCUAUUCCUGCAAUUAGC
RNAcentral lists this long non-coding RNA (397 nucleotides) under Phasianus colchicus (ring-necked pheasant). RNAcentral's name for it is "lncRNA (ENSPCLG00000005672.1)". Lineage: Eukaryota; Metazoa; Chordata; Aves; Galliformes; Phasianidae. The record is from RNAcentral.